RNAcentral lists this ribosomal RNA (488 nucleotides) under Paenibacillus silvestris. RNAcentral's name for it is "Bacterial large subunit ribosomal RNA". It matches the Rfam family "Bacterial large subunit ribosomal RNA", at positions 2384 to 2878 of the family's 2925-position model. Lineage: Bacteria; Bacillati; Bacillota; Bacilli; Caryophanales; Paenibacillaceae. The record is from Rfam by way of RNAcentral.
ACAAGUCGAGCAGGGACGAAAGUCGGACUUAGUGAUCCGGUGGUACCGAAUGGAAGGGCCAUCGCUCAACGGAUAAAAGCUACCCUGGGGAUAACAGGCUUAUCUCCCCCAAGAGUCCACAUCGACGGGGAGGUUUGGCACCUCGAUGUCGGCUCAUCGCAUCCUGGGGCUGAAGUAGGUCCCAAGGGUUGGGCUGUUCGCCCAUUAAAGCGGUACGCGAGCUGGGUUCAGAACGUCGUGAGACAGUUCGGUCCCUAUCUGUCGCGGGCGUAGGAAAUUUGAGAGGAGCUGUCCUUAGUACGAGAGGACCGGGAUGGACGUACCGCUGGUGUACCAGUUGUCUCGCCAGAGGCAUCGCUGGGUAGCUAUGUACGGAGGGGAUAAGCGCUGAAAGCAUCUAAGCGCGAAGCCCCCCUCAAGAUGAGAUUUCCCAGUAUGUAAGACCCCUUGUAGACGACGAGGUUGAUAGGUUCGAGGUGGAAGUGCGG